UACAGAGGGUGCAAGCGUUGUUCGGAAUUACUGGGCGUAAAGCGCACGUAGGCGGCUUUGUAAGUUAGAGGUGAAAGCCUGGAGCUCAACUCCAGAACUGCCUUUAAGACUGCAUCGCUUGAAUCCAGGAGAGGUGAGUGGAAUUCCGAGUGUAGAGGUGAAAUUCGUAGAUAUUCGGAAGAACACCAGUGGCGAAGGCGGCUCACUGGACUGGUAUUGACGCUGAGGUGCGAAAAGCGUGGGGGAGCAAACAGG
This 255-nucleotide ribosomal RNA is filed under the name uncultured bacterium. RNAcentral's name for it is "partial 16S ribosomal RNA". It matches the Rfam family "Bacterial small subunit ribosomal RNA", at positions 524 to 776 of the family's 1533-position model. The record is from RNAcentral.